UGGAAUGGCGACGUCCGGCUCCAGCGCCGGGACGUCUUCGUCCGCACCGACGGAGACCAUUGGGAAGUCGAGGCCCAGCUGGGCGGUCCCGAGGGGAAAUCGAAGGUGCAGCAGUGUCCCGGCCGGGCGUCAGCGAUGAUCCUGGCCGACGCGUGGCGCGGUCCACGCUGGCAGUGGCGCGAGCUGUAAGGCGCGCCAGGAGCCCGGGCUGCGCCGUCGUUGCUUGACUUGUCUCGGCCAGCCUUCACGGACGGGCCGGAUCCCACACGGGGUCCGGCCCGUCCGUGCUU
RNAcentral lists this small RNA (290 nucleotides) under Actinoplanes sp. SE50/110. Its description in RNAcentral is "non-coding RNA with unknown function". The record is from RNAcentral. Lineage: Bacteria; Bacillati; Actinomycetota; Actinomycetes; Micromonosporales; Micromonosporaceae.